This is a long non-coding RNA of Zonotrichia leucophrys gambelii, 557 nucleotides long. RefSeq lists it as uncharacterized. The transcript has 3 exons. Lineage: Eukaryota; Metazoa; Chordata; Aves; Passeriformes; Passerellidae. The record is from RefSeq and is a predicted model, not a curated record.
CUAUGAAAGAGUGGACUAGCUGGUCCAGAAGAGAGUUGUUGGAGUUUGUUGGCUGUGCUGUGAAGAGGAAGGAGUCAGUGUUGUGAGGAGCUGUCCAUGAGUAAAGCAUCAAGAAGGAACCAAGCACAGAUCCACCCUGGAUUCUGCCAGCGCAGCUAUUUCAGUCAGGAGUGUGAAGGCAAAGCUGUGGUGACAGAAGAGCAAGCAAGACACUUGUUCUGGCACAGAGGCCCCUGGCAUCUUGUGUGAGCACACACGGAGGGUAACAAAUGCUCAGGAAGCAUCAAGCUCUCACAGAGCUCAGUCAGAGUGAGAAAAGCCCUUUUUGCAGAGGGACACACCAGCUCAUUCCAGAAUGGCUCUUGAAGGAAUCUAGGUUUGUUCCAGUGACAGGCUGGGUCACUCUUCAUGAGCACUUUCCUGGAAAAUACAGAUGAGGCUGUCAGGUUUUACCUUCUCAAACUUCCAAUACCAUCCUUGCAGACUCUACACUCAUGUAUUUAAUUUUUUCUCAUGAAAAUAUCCUGAAUUACUUGUUAAAAAAAAGAAAAAAAAGA